This 479-nucleotide ribosomal RNA is filed under the name uncultured bacterium. RNAcentral describes it as "partial 16S ribosomal RNA". It matches the Rfam family "Bacterial small subunit ribosomal RNA", at positions 28 to 507 of the family's 1533-position model. The record is from RNAcentral.
GACGAACGCUGGCGGCGUGCCUAACACAUGCAAGUGGAGCGACGAACCGGGGCUUGCCCCGGGGCAGCGCCGCGAACGGGUGAGUAACACGUGGGUGACCUGCCCCGAUGACUGGGACAACCCGUCGAAAGACGGGCUAUAACCGGAUGUGCCCGUUGGGGGAGAGGAAGCUUGGGCCCCAGCAUCGGGCGGGGCCGGCGGCGCAUUAGGUUGUUGGUGGGGUAAUGGCUUACCAAGGCGACCAUGCGUAGUUGGUGUGAGAGGCCGAUAAGCCACACUGGGACUGGGACACGGCCCAUACUCCUGCGGGAGGCAGCAGUGGGGAAUCGUGCACAGUGCGCGGAAGCGUGAUGCAGCAACGCCGCGUGCGGGAAGAAGGCCUUAGGGUUGUAAACCGCGUUCAGUUGGGACGAGGCGUCGAUCGUGAAUAGCGGGUUGGAGUGACGGUACCUUCAGAAGAAGCGCCGGCUAACUACGUG